AUGCCGUACAUACCAGCUGACGUCACAAACCUAUAGGCCAAGUACCGUAGAGAGAGCAAGUUGGCAGACAUAGAGGCCACAAUGGCCUACUUCGAUGAAAAAGCGAAGGAAGAUCCAGAUUUCUUCUACAGGAUGAGGUUGGAUGAUGAGGACCAUGUCAGAAACAUGUAUUGGGUGGAUGGUGCUGCAAGGAGAGCCUACAAACAUUUCCGAGAUUGCAUUUCAUUCGACACGACGUACCUCACCAAUAUGUACAAGAUGCCAUGCGCUCCGUUCAUAGGAAUAAAUAACCACAAUCAGUAGUUGUAGUUCGGCUGCGGGCUCGUCCGGAAUGAAGACACGGAUGGGUACGUUUGGCUGUUCAAGACCUUCUUGGAGUGCAUGGAUGGACUUGCUCCGAUGAACAUAAUAACAGACCAAGAUUUCAGCAUGCGUGCAGGCAUAGAGGAGGUCUUUCUGUUGGCAGUGCACAGGCACUGCAGGUGGCACAUUAUAAAGAAGGUUGAGGAGACGCUAGGACUGUUCUUUGCUGACCGUCCAGAGCUGCACAAGGCAUUCGAGCUGUGCGUGGACCACAGCUUGACGGUGGAGGAGUUUGAAAGGAGUUGGAUGGCCAUGACUGAAACACAUCAAGUCCAAGACAACGAGACUCUUGUUAGCCUGUGGGAGAAGCGAAUGUACUGGGUGUCGGCCUACUUCAUGCAGUGCUUCUUCCCCUUUCUGCAGACUACGCAGCGCAGCAAGGGGUUCAAUGCUGUUUUGAAGCGGUACGUCAGCCCUGGCAACUCAUUGCUAUAG
This 798-nucleotide ribosomal RNA is filed under the name Triticum aestivum (bread wheat). RNAcentral describes it as "partial small subunit ribosomal RNA". Lineage: Eukaryota; Viridiplantae; Streptophyta; Magnoliopsida; Poales; Poaceae. The record is from RNAcentral.